This is a non-coding RNA of Anas platyrhynchos (mallard), 1296 nucleotides long. The record is from RefSeq and is a predicted model, not a curated record. NCBI's taxonomy places the organism in Eukaryota, Metazoa, Chordata, Aves, Anseriformes, Anatidae.
AUUAAAGUGCCAAUCAAAAAGAGUAAUGGAACAGGGAAUAGAAAGCUGGCUUCUUCAGCCUCUUACUGCUCUCAGUCUGAGCAACUUUCACAAGCCAAAGGAAACAUUUCUCUUCUGAAUAGGAGCCAGACUUCCAGAAAUACCUCCUCUCCCCUUGUCUCUGUGAGAGCAAGUGCUGAGACUCUUCUGUGUGUCUUGCUUAGGGUGGAAACCCGUUGCUUACUACAGUGCAGGUAGUGGGAAGAAGUGUUGCUGACUGUAACCCAGAAAGGAUGGAGAUGCUUAUUCUGUGGAAUAAGCACUGGGCUGUGCGUGCAGGGCUCAUUGAUUGGUUAGUGACAUGGUUUCAAUUGCAGAUUGCUCACAUUUCAGCAUUCGUGGGUGAACAAUGGAAGGAAACCGGUGGGUCCAGAAGUCUUGCUGGUGUGUGCAAGUUGCCUGUAACCUGGAGUGUGUACACCUAGAAAGCUGCUUUUUUGCACCAAGGUACCAGAGGUGAAAACACUGUGAUUAACAGAUAGAGCAAUGUUCUUCAAGGAAGAGAAGCACAGUACGUGAGGUUAUUCAUGAAGGAGUCAUCAUCUAGUGGUUUGGGUUGUAGGAAACAGCUUCUGAAAUAUCAAGACAAUCUGCUUUUAUUGCUGUAAGUCAUACCUCCUCCUUAAAUGAAACCAAGCUAAAGGCCACAGGAACGGUCUUUUGGUUAAGGCAAAAGCUAUGUGCUCCACUCAGUGCCAGACUGUUCCACCAACGAUGGACACAUACUUGCCCCUAGCUGUAACUUACAAGGUGCUAGCCAAUCUUUUGGCUUUGUGGGGACUAUCACGCUGAAUUUGAUACUCCAUGUGUGACAUUUCUGAUGAGACCACCAACAUUGCCAUAUUUUAGAAGUCCAGCAACACCUUCUGAAACAUCACUCAGUAGACCCAUCGGGUUGCCAAGGAAAUCCACAGAACCUAGAAUCCUUGCUGCCUGACUGAUCAGCUCCUGUAAAAUCAAUAGAAAGGUUGAAAUACCACCUCCGGAUCACGUUAACACCAGCAAGAUUGAUUAAAAAUGAAGAGAUACUAUAAAACAAUACAUGAGCACCAGUACAAUCAACAGUUUCAUCUUAAAGUGCAGUGAAUUUUAGAAAUGUGUGAUGCUAUCUCGCUAUAAUAAAAAAAAAAAAAAAAGAGGGGGGGGGGUAUACAGUAAAUACCUGAUCAUCAAGGAAGAAUUUCAUCCCCAUCCUCACUACAGAACUCAAUCAAGAGAAAUUUAGCCUUUCCUCUAAUAAAAUCUGUAUGACACUUA